GAUGAACGCUGGCGGCGUGCCUAAUACAUGCAAGUCGAGCGAAUGGAUUAAGAGCUUGCUCUUAUGAAGUUAGCGGCGGACGGGUGAGUAACACGUGGGUAACCUGCCCAUAAGACUGGGAUAACUCCGGGAAACCGGGGCUAAUACCGGAUAACAUUUUGAACCGCAUGGUUCGAAAUUGAAAGGCGGCUUCGGCUGUCACUUAUGGAUGGACCCGCGUCGCAUUAGCUAGUUGGUGAGGUAACGGCUCACGAAGGCAACGAUGCGUAGCCGACCUGAGAGGGUGAACGGCAAGACUGGGACUGAGACACGGACCAGACUCCUAAGGGAGGGAGCAGUAGGGAAUCUUCCGCAAUGGACGAAAGUCUGACGGAGCAACGCCGCGUGAGUGAUGAAGGCUUUCGGGUCGUAAAACGCUGUUGUUAGGGAAGAACAAGUGCUAGUUGAAUAAGCUGGCACCUUGACGGUACCUAACCAGAAAGCCACGGCUAACUACGUGCCAGCCGCCGCAGUAA
Molecule: ribosomal RNA, 515 nt
Filed under: uncultured bacterium
Lineage: Bacteria
Description: partial 16S ribosomal RNA
Rfam family: Bacterial small subunit ribosomal RNA
Source: RNAcentral